This 230-nucleotide unclassified non-coding RNA is filed under the name uncultured fungus. RNAcentral's name for it is "sequence contains ITS1, 5.8S rRNA gene". The stretch from base 182 to 230 matches the Rfam family "5.8S ribosomal RNA", at positions 1 to 49 of the family's 154-position model. The record is from RNAcentral. Lineage: Eukaryota; Fungi.
UCUCCGUAGGUGAACCUGCGGAGGGAUCAUUACUGAGUGAGGGUCUCCGGGCCCGACCUCCAACCCUUUGUGAACACAACUUGUUGCUUCGGGGGCGACCCUGCCGUUUCGACGGCGUGGGGCCCCGGAGCCCUUCAAACCCUGCGUAACUGAGUCGUCGGAGUUUAAACAAAUUAAACAAAACUUUCAACAACGGAUCUCUUGGUUCGGGCAUCGAUGAAGAACGCAGC